This 336-nucleotide unclassified non-coding RNA is filed under the name soil metagenome. Its description in RNAcentral is "partial contains 5.8S ribosomal RNA, internal transcribed spacer 2, and large subunit ribosomal RNA". The stretch from base 1 to 120 matches the Rfam family "5.8S ribosomal RNA", at positions 35 to 154 of the family's 154-position model. The record is from RNAcentral.
GAUGAAGAACGUAGCGAAAUGCGAUAAGUAGUGUGAAUUGCAGAAUUCAGUGAAUCAUCGAAUCUUUGAACGCACAUUGCGCCCCUUGGUAUUCCAUGGGGCAUACCUGUUCGAGCGUCAUUUGUACCUUCAAGCUUUGCUUGGUGUUGGGUGUUUGUCUCGCCUUUGCGUGUAGACUCGCCUUAAAAUAAUUGGCAGCCGGCGUAUUGAUUUCGGAGCGCAGUACAUCUCGCGCUUUGCACUCAUAACGACAGCGUCCAAAAGUACAUUUUACACUCUUGACCUCGGAUCAGGUAGGGAUACCCGCUGAACUUAAGCAUAUCAAUAAGCGGAGGA